UUUUCCCAUUGUUUUAGUUUAGUUUAUCACUUUGUGCAGCAGAAAUUUUAGUCCAAGGCACAGAAGAUAUGGAAAAGAAGUUAUUGUGGUUCAGAAGAGAUUCAUGUAUGUAUGGGAGACAGUUCCUAGAUGGCAUUCCUUCAGGCGCAGCCGGAUUAACCAACGUUGCAAAGAGCGCGAUUCCCUGCACGAAGCCCCUCGCAGUCUCCGUUUAAUUUACUUUGUCACGGUAACAGACCUGCGCUCUUCCUCACAUCUGUUACGUUUCGACUUUACUGUUUUACAGAUACUAACCAAUCUUCAAAACAGUUUGGAAACUGAGGCUGAAGUUUCAAGUCUGUGUCAGAGCCUGGAUUAAGUCUGAAGAGUUAAUGAGAACCUUUAGACCAGAGGAAUUAAGAAAGUGCUUUAGUGUCUUUGCUCUGUAGGAAUGGAUUUAGUUGAAGUAAAGCCUGGGUGGAGAUGUCUGUCCACCCUCCGGGAAGCUUGAGGACCUCUUCCCUCAUCUACCCCUCUAUCCACUCGAAAAGACAUACUAGUUUCUGAAAAGAUUUGAAUUCUCCCUCAGUAGCCUACUGACCGCUUGAGCCCAGAGAGUACAACACAUGUGUGAAAUGCAAUUGCAAAGAGAAAAGUGAACAGAAAAGCCUAUUUAGCCAAGUAGGUGUGAAUAAACUCAGCCAACUCUCAGUGCCAAGAAAACGAAGCACUUUUUUCCCCCCAUCACAGCAAUUGAUGUCAGUAAUCGACUUGCUGGGUGCUGCGAACG
Molecule: long non-coding RNA, 769 nt
Organism: Rhea pennata
Lineage: Eukaryota; Metazoa; Chordata; Aves; Rheiformes; Rheidae
Exons: 6
Source: RefSeq, a predicted model, not a curated record